GCUGGGCAUGGUGGCGCGUGCCUGUAAUCCCAGCUACUCAGGAGGCUGAGACAGGAGAAUUGCUUGAACCCGAGAGGCAGAGGUUGCAGUGAGCAGGGAUCGAGCCACUGCACUCCAGCCUGGGUGACAGAGGGAGACCCUGUCUCAA
This 148-nucleotide non-coding RNA is filed under the name Pan troglodytes (chimpanzee). Lineage: Eukaryota; Metazoa; Chordata; Mammalia; Primates; Hominidae. The record is from Rfam by way of RNAcentral.